CAAGUCAGCCAGAUAAUCGCUGGCAUCAUUAGAUGCUGGAGGAAAGUCCGGGCUCCAUAGAGCAAAGUGCCAGGUAACACCUGGGGGGCGUGAGCCUACGGAAAGUGCAGCAGAAAAGAUACCGCCAUAGGUUUUGUAUGGGGUCAGAGCGAAAGGUCUGACCCACAUGCUUUUUAUGGUAAGGGUGAAAUGGUGUGGUAAGAGCGCACCGCGAUACGGGUAACCGUAGCGGCAUGGUAAACCCCACUUGGAGCAAGACCAAAUAGGAAAGCAAUGGCGUGGCUCGCGCUGCUUUCGGGUUGGACGCUUGAGAUGCAUGGUGACAUGUUAUCCAGAUGAAUGAUUAUCCACGACAGAACCCGGCUUAUCGGCUGACUUAAUUU
This 383-nucleotide RNase P RNA is filed under the name Gammaproteobacteria bacterium. RNAcentral describes it as "RNase P RNA component class A". It matches the Rfam family "Bacterial RNase P class A". From Rfam's summary of the family: Ribonuclease P (RNase P) is a ubiquitous endoribonuclease, found in archaea, bacteria and eukarya as well as chloroplasts and mitochondria. Lineage: Bacteria; Pseudomonadati; Pseudomonadota; Gammaproteobacteria. The record is from RNAcentral.